UUCCUCCCGCUGUGUGUGGUGCCUCCCCCUAGGGGGCCUGGGUGGUACUGCGGCUCUGCAGCCGUCACAGGCGGCUCGCUGCACAGGAAGUCCUCCUGAGAAGAUCGAGAGCGAGACGUCUCUGUGGAAGACAGGCGGGUGGUUCGGCCUUCCAGCCAGCCCUCGCAGUCUCCUCUGCCCAGCGCUUUGCAGGAAACACGCCUCCGACUCAGCGAGGUCAGACCUCGUCCUGGAAACGCAAACGGAGCGACGUUUAAGAACAGACGAUAAAACCAACAACCUACAGAAUAAUGACAAAACAAAGAUGUAUUCAAACUAACAUGACUGUAUGUGAAGUUCCCUUGUCAGAUCCAGAUCUGUAGAAUCAAAAAAUUGCUUCAACAGAACCUGUCUGACAACCCGAAGAAUGGUAAAAUAUCUCUAAAGGUAGACCGUAAAAACAAUCCCGAAAUCCUGGAAGGACUGAUCAGUGUGAAAAGAUGUUCAAUAUGUUAUGUUAAGAAAAGCUUAACAUGAAAUCAAGUUUGCUGAAACAAACUGUUACUUAUUGAUAUUUUAAUAGAUUCUGGCACAACAGGCCCUUUAAGAUCAUUCAAAUUUUUGAAAUUGCCCAAAAUGAAAGCGAGUUUGACGCCUCUGGUUGAAAUGCAAUCGAGAAGUCUGUCAGAAAAGUCCAGCAGGAAAAAAUAAAUACAUAAAUAGCAUGUGAGAUUAAAUAGUCUGACAAGGAAAAUUUAAGACCAUAUUUAAGACCAACUUACAGCUUUAAAAAAAUUAUUUAAAACAUUUUAAGGCCUUAAAUUUACAUACAUGAUUUUAGGACAUCCUGAUUUAGCAGUUAGCAUGUCGUAGCAGCAAGGCAGAUGAAAAAAUGCUACUUUUGACUGAAGAGAGCGCUCAAAUAACUGACACUGAGGGUACUUUUAGGGGCAUUUUGGAUCAAAACACAAACAAUAACUUCUGGAACUGAGGGAAGGCCUGAAUGAAAACGACAAGAAGAGAAGAAUUAUUGUUAAGGAAGCGUAUUCUUAACAAUUCUGGUACUUUCUCAGUUCUACAACUUAAAACGUCACAGGCUGAUGUAGAAACAGCCUUGAGCUCUGAGAAUUUUCCACAACGCUGUAUUAUCGUGUGCAAGGUUUCCCCCAGAAAGCUUGCUAAGCCUGGUGGCUGGAUGUUAGAGCAGCCAUUCAUCCAGCGGAAAGGAAAUGUGAAAAUAUCACUUGAUACUUUUGUGUUAUUGAAAGAUUAAUAACUGAACACCAACAAUAAAACCUUAAAAAAUAAGGAAUGCUAAGCCUGGUGUCCCGCCAGGAUUAUAAUACACUGCCUGUGCUUACUAAAAGUGGUGCUUUUUUUCCGGCUUAAAGGUGAUGCAUCAGUAAGCUCCUUAUUAAAGAUAACUGGAGCAACAUGGCUUCCAGGUGAGGCCGGCAAAGAAACUCCUGCUGCUCUGCAUGAAAUGUCUUUUUAACAAGAAUCAUGAUCCAGGUGUCAAUUUUCCUCCUUGGCAGCUUUUUUCUAGAGGAAACAACUCUCCACAAAAGUGUUGACACACAAAAAACGAAACAUUCUUGCAUGAAGCGUGGAAAGGUUUUCAGCUUAGAGAUAAUGAAUCAUUUAUAUUCCUGCACAAGAGGGUAAUAUAUCUGAAAACGCACAAAAGUGUUGUGCAAUAAUGAUCGUCCUCGUUCCUGUGUCGACACUAACUAAUGCCAUCAUCAGUUUGGUCACAAAAGACCCAUUUGUGCACAGUUUUACUAAUUCCUAAUAUGUUGAUGAAUUAGUUAUUUAGAGCUACAAUUAUUAACAUCAAUUUCUUUCAGAAACGUUGGUUCAGUUGCUGUAAACAAACAGAGCCGUGUGCAGAUGGAGCCAAAGUUUUCAGAGCUUCUCACAGCAGCAGAUGGCAGAACAAGCGAUCAGACCGUGGAAAAAAAUUCAAAUCUCCCAGCAUGUUGAUCCAUGACAGUGUGAAAAGUUUGUCACAGAGGCAAAGGCACUUGUCAGAGUGAAUAUUAGAAAUAAAUGGAAAAAUCUCAACAAUUAUUUAAAAAAUUGAGUAAAACUGACAGAAAUAAUUAAGAGAAUCUUUGACUACUGUUUGGAAAGUUUUCAUUAUUAGAUAUACCUUGUAAAGCAUUAAUUUAAAGCUGUAAAAUAAGCACAAUUUGUUUGAAUAAAAAUGCUAAAUUUUUUACAAGAUCUUAUACCAGUACUGGGCCGGAUUUUGGUUUAAUUCCCAGAUUGAGUCCAACUGAGGAUACAGAUCCAAACCUCAUGUUGCCAAAUAUCACAUAUUAGUUCAUUUUACCCAGGAAGUUUCAACUUACAGGCACAAAAUUUACACUUUUAGAGAGUAAACUCUACAUAAGCCUGUUGCAAUAAUUAAUAAACCUAUAAAUCAAUUCAUUGCAUAAUAAAUGAACAUACGCUCCUCUUAUUUUGAAAGACAAUUUUGUUUACAGAGACAACAAUACAUUUCAUUUAUUGUUUUGAUUGUGUGUGCUUUUUCUUUUACAUCCAUUUUAUUUACUGUUUAUUUUUCAUUAUUAUACCAUAAUCGAUACAUUACUUGAAAACUGUCUCCAAACCACAAUAUUAUUGUUUAUCGCUAUAAUUAUCUGGGCUAUUUAUCGUCCAAUAAAAUAAAAUCUCUUGACAGGCCUACCUAAA
This is a long non-coding RNA of Poeciliopsis prolifica (blackstripe livebearer), 2676 nucleotides long. RefSeq lists it as uncharacterized. NCBI's taxonomy places the organism in Eukaryota, Metazoa, Chordata, Actinopteri, Cyprinodontiformes, Poeciliidae. The transcript is spliced from 2 exons. The record is from RefSeq and is a predicted model, not a curated record.